This 561-nucleotide long non-coding RNA is filed under the name Malus domestica (apple). RNAcentral's name for it is "long non-coding RNA (MDOM_LNC009769)". The record is from RNAcentral. Lineage: Eukaryota; Viridiplantae; Streptophyta; Magnoliopsida; Rosales; Rosaceae.
UAAAUAUAGUAGAAAAAUCACUUAAAUAGACCUAAAUACCCUCAAAAUUAAAACCAACUAAAAAACCCUAUUGGAUCAGAAUUUUGGAAAAAUGAGAGGCCACUACAUUUUGUGGGUGAUGUCAUAGCGUUCCCAGUCAAUACCAAUGAAAUCAAGGAUCUUAGUAUAACUUUUCAUUUUCACCUGUGGCUUCAAUACGUAUGAAUGAACAUGAGAUAGGCACUUGUGUUACUUUGGCUGUAAUGUUUAAUGGGAUUUCGCGGCUAUUACUAUGUUUGUCUAGUUUCACGUUGUUGUUGGACUCAUAUGGUUAGAAAUUACACCUACACGAAUUUUGUGAUUGCUGAUAUUUAAUCACGCAUAUUAUGAGUGUUACUUGACCUUCGCCAUAUGUUUUCUCUGCUAUUUCACUCUCUGCCUUUCGAUUUGUUUCUCUCUCACACCAUUAAUUAGGCUAAAUUGGAUUAAUGCCUUUCGAUUUGUUUCUCUCUCACACCAUUAAUUAGGCUAAAUUGGAUUAAUGGUCUCCCAUAAAAAAAUGAUUAAAUGUGACAUGGAUGA